UACGAGGGGUGCAAGCGUUGCUCGGAAUCAUUGGGCGUAAAGGGCAGGUAGGUGGUCUCAUUUGUCUGGGUGAAGCCCAGGGCUUAACCCUGGAACGUGCCCCAGAACGGUGAGACUUGAGUGCUGGAGAGGGUCAUGGAAUUCCCGGUGUAGCGGUGAAAUGCGUAGAGAUCGGGAGGAACACCAGAGGCGAAGGCGGCGACCUGGACAGUGACUGACACUCAACUGCGAAAGCGUGGGGAGCAAACAGGAUUGAG
RNAcentral lists this ribosomal RNA (257 nucleotides) under uncultured bacterium. RNAcentral describes it as "partial 16S ribosomal RNA". It matches the Rfam family "Bacterial small subunit ribosomal RNA", at positions 524 to 782 of the family's 1533-position model. The record is from RNAcentral.